UACGUAGGUGGCGAGCGUUAUCCGGAUUUAUUGGGUUUAAAGGGUGCGUAGGCGGGCUUUUAAGUCAGCGGUAAAAAUUCGGGGCUCAACCCCGUCCGGCCGUUGAAACUGGGGGCCUUGGGUGGGCGAGAAGAAGGCGGAAUGCGUGGUGUAGCGGUGAAAUGCAUAGAUAUCACGCAGAACCCCGAUUGCGAAGGCAGCCUUCCGGCGCCCUACUGACGCUGAGGCACGAAAGUGCGGGGAUCGAACAGG
Molecule: ribosomal RNA, 252 nt
Filed under: uncultured bacterium
Lineage: Bacteria
Description: partial 16S ribosomal RNA
Rfam family: Bacterial small subunit ribosomal RNA
Source: RNAcentral